AGUGAACGCUGGCGGUAGGCCUAACACAUGCAAGUCGAACGGCAGCACAGGAAGAGCUUGCUCCUAAGGGUGGCGAGGGGCGGACGGGUGAGGAAUACAUCGGAAUCUACUUUUUCGGGGGGGAUAACGGAGGGAAACUUACGCUAAUACCGCAUACGAUCUACGGGUGAAAGCAGGGGAGCAUGGGAGCUUGCGUGAUAGAAAGAGCCGAUGUCGGAUUAGCUAGUUGGCAGGGUAAAGGCACACCAAGGCGACGAUCCGUAGCUGGUCUGAGAGGAUGAUCCGCCACACUGGAACUGAGACACGGUCCAGACUCCUACGGGAGGCAGCAGUAGGGAAUCUUCCACAAUGGGCGCAAGCCUGAUCCAGCCAUACCGCGUGAGUGAUGAAGGCCUUCGGGUUGUAAAGCCCUUUUGUUGGGAAAGAACAGCAGCAUAUUUAUCCCCCGCUGUUCUGACGGUACCCAAAGAGUAAGCCCCGGCUAACUUCGUG
RNAcentral lists this ribosomal RNA (492 nucleotides) under uncultured bacterium. Its description in RNAcentral is "partial 16S ribosomal RNA". It matches the Rfam family "Bacterial small subunit ribosomal RNA", at positions 29 to 507 of the family's 1533-position model. The record is from RNAcentral.